CCUGGCUCAGAGCGAACGUUAGCGGCGGGCUUAACACAUGCAAGUCGAGCGAGAAAGUGGCUUCGCCAUCAGUAAAGCGGCGGACGGGUGAGUAACACGUAGUAAUCUUCCCUUGAGCGGGGGACAACGGUCCGAAAGGACCGCUAAUACCGCAUACGUUUUCAGCGGCUCUGGUCGCUGAAAGGAAAGCUAGGCAGCAAUGUCCGGCACUCGAGGAGGAGCCUGCGUCGCAUCAGCUAGUUGGUGGGGUAACGGCCUACCAAGGCGAAGACGCGUAGCUGGUCUGAGAGGAUGAUCAGCCACACUGGGACUGAGACACGGCCCAGACUCCUACGGGAGGCAGCAGUGGGGAAUAUUGGACAAUGGGCGAAAGCCUGAUCCAGCCACGCCGCGUGAGUGAUGAAGGCCUUCGGGUCGUAAAGCUCUGUGGGGAGGGACGAACCGCUGCUGGUUCAUAGCCAGCAGCAUGACGGUACCUCCUUAGCAAGCACCGGCUAACUUCGUGCCAGCAGCCGCGGUAA
This 521-nucleotide ribosomal RNA is filed under the name uncultured prokaryote. RNAcentral describes it as "bacterial SSU rRNA". It matches the Rfam family "Bacterial small subunit ribosomal RNA", at positions 18 to 523 of the family's 1533-position model. The record is from RNAcentral.